RNAcentral lists this ribosomal RNA (497 nucleotides) under uncultured bacterium. RNAcentral's name for it is "partial 16S ribosomal RNA". It matches the Rfam family "Bacterial small subunit ribosomal RNA", at positions 28 to 507 of the family's 1533-position model. The record is from RNAcentral.
GAUGAACGCUGGCGGCGUGCCUAAUACAUGCAAGUCGAGCGAACCGACCAGGCGCUUUCUCCUUUGACAUUAGCGACGGACGGGUGAGUACCACGUGGAUAACCUACCUAUAAGACUGGGAUAACUUCGGAAAACCGGAGCUAAUACCGGAUAACACGUUGCACCUGAUGGUUCAUCAGUGCAUGACGGUCUUGCUGUCACUUAUAGAUGGAUCCGGGCGGCAUUCGCUAGGUGGUAAGGUAACGGCUUACCAAGGCAACGACGCGUAGCCGACCUGAGAGGGGGAUCGGCCACACUGGAACUGAGACACGGUCCAGGCUCCUACGGGAGGCAGCAGUAGGGAAUCUUCCGCAAUGGGCGAAAGCCUGACGGAGCAACGCCGCGUGAGUGAAGAAGGUCUUCGGAUCGUAAAACUCUGUUAUUAGGGAAGAACAAAUGUGUAAGUAACUAUGCACGUCUUGACGGUACCUAAUCAGAAAGCCACGGCUAACUACGUG